RNAcentral lists this ribosomal RNA (394 nucleotides) under uncultured bacterium. RNAcentral describes it as "partial 16S ribosomal RNA". It matches the Rfam family "Bacterial small subunit ribosomal RNA", at positions 523 to 918 of the family's 1533-position model. The record is from RNAcentral.
ACGCGUAGGGGGCGAGCGUUGUUCGGAAUCAUUGGGCGUAAAGGGCGUGCAGGCGGUCCUGCAAGUCCGGCGUGAAAGACCCCGGCCCAACCGGGGGGACGCGCUGGAAACUGCGGGGCUUGAGUACAGGAGGGGAUGCCGGAAUUCCAGGUGUAGGGGUGAAAUCUGUAGAUAUCUGGAAGAACACCAAUGGCGAAGGCAGGCAUCUGGCCAUGUUCGGACGGUGGGACGCGAAGGUGCGGGGAGCAAACAGGUUUAGAUACCCUGGUAGUCCGCACAGUAAACGAUGUGCACCAGGUGGCGGGGGGUCGACCCUCGGUACCGUAGCUAACGCAUUAAGUGCACCGCCUGGGGAGUAUGCUCGCAAGGGUGAAACUCAAAUGAAUUGACGGGG